This 492-nucleotide ribosomal RNA is filed under the name uncultured bacterium. Its description in RNAcentral is "partial 16S ribosomal RNA". It matches the Rfam family "Bacterial small subunit ribosomal RNA", at positions 29 to 507 of the family's 1533-position model. The record is from RNAcentral.
AGUGAACGCUGGCGGUAGGCCUAACACAUGCAAGUCGAACGGCAGCACAGUAAGAGCUUGCUCUUACGGGUGGCGAGUGGCGUACGGGUGAGGAAUACAUCGGAACCUACUUUUUCGUGGGGGAUAACGUAGGGAAACUUACGCUAAUACCGCAUACGACCUACGGGUGAAAGCAGGGGAUCUUCGGACCUUGCGCGAUUGAAUUAGCCGAUGUCGGAUUAGCUAGUUGGCGGGGUAAAGGCCCACCAAGGCGACGAUCCGUAGCUGGUCUGAGAGGAUGAUCAGCCACACUGGAACGGAGACACGGUCAAGACUCCUACGGGAGGCAGCAGUGGGGAAUAUUGGACAAUGGGCGCAAGCCUGAUCCAGCCAUACCGCGUGGGUGAAGAAGGCCUUCGGGUUGUAAAGCCCUUUUGUUGGGAAAGAAAAGCAGCAGGUUAAUACCCCGCUGUUCUGACGGUACCCAAAGAAUAAGCACCGGCUAACUUCGUG